RNAcentral lists this transfer-messenger RNA (363 nucleotides) under Collibacillus ludicampi. It matches the Rfam family "transfer-messenger RNA". Rfam says of the family: Bacterial tmRNA, also known as 10Sa RNA or SsrA, is named for its dual tRNA and mRNA-like properties. Its role is to liberate the mRNA from a stalled ribosome. Lineage: Bacteria; Bacillati; Bacillota; Bacilli; Caryophanales; Alicyclobacillaceae. The record is from RNAcentral. RNAcentral also lists the same sequence under 1 other name.
GGGGGCGUUUUUGGAUUCGACGGGGAUCGUUCGAGCAUCAGUAGCGGGUCGUCGGGGCUGCGAAGACGCUAAAAUACGCAGGCGUAAAUAUAAACGCAAACAAACAACCUAAACUCGCUCUCGCUGCUUAAUUGCAGUGGGCCGGUUUGCCGUCCAUCGCCGAUGUGGAUUGCAAACUGUCAUUAUAGUCGGCUAGCGUAACUCUCUUCCGUCUGUAGAGAUUACGCGAAUCCAAUCAGACUAGCCAAACGGCAGCCUGUCGCUCGGCGGCCGUGCGGCGAAUUCCAGUAGAGACGACUGCACCCGGAGAAGCUGAUGUGGCGAGAUCUUCGGACAGGGGUUCGACUCCCCUCGCCUCCACCA